Molecule: ribosomal RNA, 465 nt
Filed under: Vreelandella stevensii
Lineage: Bacteria; Pseudomonadati; Pseudomonadota; Gammaproteobacteria; Oceanospirillales; Halomonadaceae
Description: partial 16S ribosomal RNA
Rfam family: Bacterial small subunit ribosomal RNA
Source: RNAcentral
CCUACGGGAGGCUGCAGUGGGGAAUAUUGGACAAUGGGGGCAACCCUGAUCCAGCCAUGCCGCGUGUGUGAAGAAGGCCCUCGGGUUGUAAAGCACUUUCAGUGAGGAAGAACGCCUGGUGGUUAAUACCCAUCAGGAAAGACAUCACUCACAGAAGAAGCACCGGCUAACUCCGUGCCAGCAGCCGCGGUAAUAUGGAGGGUGCGAGCGUUAAUCGGAAUUACUGGGCGUAAAGCGCGCGUAGGUGGCUUGAUAAGCCGGUUGUGAAAGCCCCGGGCUCAACCUGGGAACGGCAUCCGGAACUGUCAAGCUAGAGUGCAGGAGAGGAAGGUAGAAUUCCCGGUGUAGCGGUGAAAUGCGUAGAGAUCGGGAGGAAUACCAGUGGCGAAGGCGGCCUUCUGGACUGACACUGACACUGAGGUGCGAAAGCGUGGGUAGCAAACAGGAUUAGAUACCCCAGUAGUC